CGCAAAGAGGCAGUUACAGCUGCGCUGUGGCGCAGGCCUCUUGCGCUGUGGCGCAGCUUCCAGAUCAAGAACUCAUCUCCCAGGUGUUCAUCAUGCGCCAUGCGCAGCUCUCCUGCGCCAUGGCGUAGCUCACAGUGUUGGAAUCCUCCUAAUCAAGGCUCUAUUGCGCCAUGCGCAGCUAUACUGCACCAUGGCGCAGGCACCAGUGGAAGUCACUCUCAAGAAAGACCAACAAUGCGCCAU
RNAcentral lists this long non-coding RNA (243 nucleotides) under Trifolium pratense (red clover). RNAcentral's name for it is "long non-coding RNA (TPRA_LNC014411)". The record is from RNAcentral. Lineage: Eukaryota; Viridiplantae; Streptophyta; Magnoliopsida; Fabales; Fabaceae.